ACAGUCGAUUCCGGUUAAUUGGACCACCUGUUAAUCGGACCAGCCGCUUAUUCGGACCGAAUCCUAAAGAACCGAAACAGAUCAUAUUAAAUAAGCCUAAUAUUGUUCGCUUAUUUGGACCAAAAUUCUUGUUAAUCGGACCAAAGAACGUGACAGAGAAUAAGAAAAAGAAGCCACAAGUCACCCGCGGAAAGCGGAUGUAAAGCGGGUCAGCGACAUCGGGAGGAUCCCUGGGCUCCCCAAGAGAAUUUAUGCUUUUAUCAAAGGUCAGGAAGUCAGAAAAUUUGUACCAAAUGCAAACCAGUGGGGGUGAACAUGCCUGCCCUUUCUUUCCUAAAACGGACUGCCCAGUAGCCGGCGACAUGAAGUCGAGCGUAAACAAGAGAGUUGCGUCAACAGAAUGCGUCAGAUCACACUAGACAAGUUCUUCAAACGUUGACUGGAAUUUGGUAAUGUAACCUUUUUUAUUGUGCUUUGCAUGCUGAGUGUUGUGUAGAUCGUUUCGAAGAAUUUGUAGAUUUCUUUUUCAAUAAACAAAGUUGUAAGCAUCCGUAUAUGUACACGUAAAUAGUUCUUGUUUGUACGUUCGCCAUAUGUGUGUGCAGCACAAUAAAAGUCAUAAUGACAUUUUAAUAUGUUACUUAUAGCACAUCCCGUCUUGGUUGCACAUGUAUAGGGCAUGUUCCUGUAAUCGGACCAGCCGGUUAUUAGGACCAAAAUGAUCACGUCCCGAU
This is a long non-coding RNA of Erpetoichthys calabaricus (reedfish), 734 nucleotides long. RefSeq lists it as uncharacterized. NCBI's taxonomy places the organism in Eukaryota, Metazoa, Chordata, Cladistia, Polypteriformes, Polypteridae. The record is from RefSeq and is a predicted model, not a curated record. The transcript has 3 exons.